Microtus oregoni (creeping vole) is the source of this 1017-nucleotide long non-coding RNA. RefSeq lists it as uncharacterized. The record is from RefSeq and is a predicted model, not a curated record. Lineage: Eukaryota; Metazoa; Chordata; Mammalia; Rodentia; Cricetidae. The transcript is spliced from 4 exons.
UCCAACUCGGCUCUCGGGUUUUGCCAUCUUGUUCCAUUUGUCUUAAAACAGUCGAUUUCUCCAGCCGCCCGACAAUGACGCAGAUAUUGAACAGGAAGCAAACUUGCAGAACAGCUCCUGCUUAAGGACGGCUCAGGUAGCCUUGCUGCUCUGCUAUUACCAUAAUCAUUUUAUUUACCACGAAAUGAUUUGCUUGCUUGUGUAACAUGUCAUCUGUAUUCAGGCUCCGAGAACUCACCCAGAAUGCCAUGCCUUGAGACUGAAAAGAUUCGCACAGUGUUGAGACUGCUGAAGACUUGGGACUUUUGAAGUUGGACUAAAUGUAUUUUUCAUGAUGACAUGGCCAUGAGCCUGUGGGGCAGCAGCGGACCGUGCUGAGCUUCACUUACUAAAGAGGGGGAGAAAGUACACACUCUCAAGGCAGUGCACAUUUUGCCGGGUAGCGUGGAAGAAGAAGAGGGGAGAUAUUGCUGAUGGAUCUUUCUCCAGGACUCCCAACCGCUACACCUCCCAACCCUGGACUUAGCGAUACCAAGAAAGCCCCACCAGUGAGUUCUGAUCCUCUGCCUUAGAUGUUCAGCCUCCAGCGCCCAUUAGAAACUGCAUCUUCAGCCACCAACUGCCACUUUCUAACAAAAGGCCAACAAGCCAGAAGGGGUCAGCUCUAUUCGUUGUUGCCUUGGCCUCUUGUUCUUCAGCAGCCUUUGUGAAGUGUCUGAAUCACUGGGGCAAAAAGAGAUUAAAAACCCGAGUCGAUGGAGCCAUUUUGAGCAGCACUCUUUGAGGUUGCCAUAAACUCUCUUUGGAGUUCCCUCCCAGGGAAAUGAGAGAGCAUGACUUCAUAUCUAUGCUAUAAAAACUGUAAAAAAAAAAAAAAAAAAAAAACAAAACCACAAAAAAAAACCCCCAAAAACAUCUAAUUUGAGUCAACAAAACAAAACAAAACAACAAAAAACCAAACCUGGAGAGUCUGUUGAAUUCUAGGCAAACUCAGUAAGUCCUUCUCUUGGCAUCUUU